ACAGGGAUUGCCCUAGUAACGGCGAGUGAAGCGGCAACAGCUCAAAUUUGAAAAUCUGGCUCUUUCAGAGUCCGAGUUGUAAUUUGCAGAGGGCGCUUUGGCUUUGGCAGCGGUCCAAGUUCCUUGGAACAGGACGUCACAGAGGGUGAGAAUCCCGUACGUGGUCGCUAGCUAUUGCCGUGUAAAGCCCCUUCGACGAGUCGAGUUGUUUGGGAAUGCAGCUCUAAAUGGGAGGUAAAUUUCUUCUAAAGCUAAAUAUUGGCCAGAGACCGAUAGCGCACAAGUAGAGUGAUCGAAAGAUGAAAAGCACUUUGGAAAGAGAGUCAAACAGCACGUGAAAUUGUUGAAAGGGAAGCGCUUGCAGCCAGACUUGCUUGCAGUUGCUCAUCCGGGCUUUUGCCCGGUGCACUCUUCUGUAGGCAGGCCAGCAUCAGUUUGGGCGGUGGGAUAAAGGUCUCUGUCACGUACCUCUCUUCGGGGAGGCCUUAUAGGGGAGACGACAUACCACCAGCCUAGACUGAGGUCCGCGCAUCUGCUAGGAUGCUGGCGUAAUGGCUGUAAGCGGCCCGUCUUGAAACACGGACCAAGGAGUCUAACAUCUAUGCGAGUGUUUGGGUGUCAAGCCCGAGCGCGUAAUGAAAGUGAACGGAGGUGGGAACCCGCAAGGGUGCACCAUCGACCGAUCCUGAAGUUUACGGAAGGAUUUGAGUAAGAGCAUGGCUGUUGGGACCCGAAAGAUGGUGAACUAUGCUUGAAUAGGGUGAAGCCAGAGGAAACUCUGGUGGAGGCUCGCAGCGGUUCUGACGUGCAAAUCGAUCGUCAAAUUUGGGCAUAGGGGCGAAAGACUAAUC
Molecule: ribosomal RNA, 851 nt
Filed under: Bipolaris sorokiniana
Lineage: Eukaryota; Fungi; Ascomycota; Dothideomycetes; Pleosporales; Pleosporaceae
Description: eukaryotic LSU rRNA
Rfam family: Eukaryotic large subunit ribosomal RNA
Source: RNAcentral